AACGAACGCUGGCGGCAGGCCUAACACAUGCAAGUCGAACGCCCUCUUCGGAGGGAGUGGCAGACGGGUGAGUAACGCGUGGGAACCUUCCCUGUGGUACGGAAUAACUCAGAGAAAUUUGAGCUAAUACCGUAUACGCCCUUCGGGGGAAAGAUUUAUCGCCAUAGGAUGGGCCCGCGUCGGAUUAGCUAGUUGGUGAGGUAAUGGCUCACCAAGGCAACGAUCCGUAGCUGGUCUUAGAGGAUGAUCAGCCACACUGGGACUGAGACACGGCCCAGACUCCUACGGGAGGCAGCAGUGGGGAAUAUUGGACAAUGGGCGCAAGCCUGAUCCAGCCAUGCCGCGUGAGUGACGAAGGCCUUAGGGUUGUAAAGCUCUUUCACCGGUGAAGAUAAUGACGGUAGCCGGAGAAGAAGCCCCGGCUAACUCCGUG
Molecule: ribosomal RNA, 433 nt
Filed under: uncultured bacterium
Lineage: Bacteria
Description: bacterial SSU rRNA
Rfam family: Bacterial small subunit ribosomal RNA
Source: RNAcentral